CAAGAAUGAGGGCAGUCUGGUCAUUCGGCAGAGUGCGAAGAUGUUGGCGUCCUGCAUGUGCCUUUCCUCUAAAUAGUGAAUGCAGUUAUAACAAGCUGAGCCAGCCUGGGUCAUGUGAAGACACUGCAUUUACUUCAGGGCAGACAGUCAUGCCUGGCAGUGAUGUAGAAGCUUCA
RNAcentral lists this long non-coding RNA (176 nucleotides) under Cavia porcellus (domestic guinea pig). RNAcentral describes it as "lncRNA (ENSCPOG00000031685.1)". Lineage: Eukaryota; Metazoa; Chordata; Mammalia; Rodentia; Caviidae. The record is from RNAcentral.